GUAGGUGAACCUGCGGAAGGAUCAUUAACACGUGAUACACACGUAUUAACAACCCACCGAGAAAUUGUUAUAUUAUCCUAUUAUUGGCUGCAGGUAGGCUUAAUGAGGGAAUGCUAUGGGCCGCACUUCGAAAGAUUUUACGCCCUAACUCAUUUUGUCGUUCCAUGGUCCGUCCUGGAGCUUGCACUGAUUAAUAGUUGACGAGUUGCGACUGCUUAUUAAGCCUGUAGCAUAGCUUGCAGAUCUGCAA
Molecule: unclassified non-coding RNA, 250 nt
Filed under: plant metagenome
Description: partial contains small subunit ribosomal RNA, internal transcribed spacer 1, and 5.8S ribosomal RNA
Source: RNAcentral